RNAcentral lists this ribosomal RNA (253 nucleotides) under uncultured bacterium. RNAcentral describes it as "partial 16S ribosomal RNA". It matches the Rfam family "Bacterial small subunit ribosomal RNA", at positions 524 to 776 of the family's 1533-position model. The record is from RNAcentral.
UACGGGGGGGGCAAGCGUUGUUCGGAAUUACUGGGCGUAAAGGGCUCGUAGGCGGCCAACUAAGUCAGACGUGAAAUCCCUCGGCUUAACCGGGGAACUGCAUCUGAUACUGGAUGGCUUGAGUUCGGGAGAGGGAUGCGGAAUUCCUGGUGUAGCGGUGAAAUGCGUAGAGAUCAGGAGGAACACCCGUGGCGAAGGCGGCACUCUGGUCGACAUCUGACGCUGAGACGCGAAAGCGUGGGGAGCGAACGGG